CUUUGCCCGCCCUAGACAUAAGUUUCUUUGACCCGUUCCCAGGUAUGGGCUAAUGAGGGAGUGUUGGCACGCAGCUCCUUCUCAGAGGCCGACUUUUAAGCAGCUGGUGGAAGCUCUGGACAAGGUCCUGCUGGCUGUCUCUGAAGAGUACCUUGACCUCCGCCUGACCUUUGGACCCUAUUCCCCCAACAAUGGGGAUGCCAGCAGCACGUGCUCCUCCAGCGACUCGGUUUUCAGCCACGACCCUUUGCCCCUCGAGCCAAGCCCCUUCCCAUUUCCUGAGGCGCAGACCACAUGAGCCUGGGAACGAUGUUGCAUGGGCUCGUAGGCCCGUGGCCGUGGGACUCCAACCUGUUUCAUCAGCAUUUGACGUUGGCACUGUCAUCAGGCCUCUGA
RNAcentral lists this long non-coding RNA (396 nucleotides) under Rattus norvegicus (Norway rat). Its description in RNAcentral is "long non-coding RNA NONRATT012788". The record is from RNAcentral. Lineage: Eukaryota; Metazoa; Chordata; Mammalia; Rodentia; Muridae.